GAGGGAGGAUUCUUUCAGCCUGCAGAUGAGAAUGCUAUCCAACCAACACCUUCAUCAAAUCUCUGAGACCCACGACAGAGAAGUCAGUAAUUGUUUUAGAUAUAUUCAUGUGAAGCAGGCUGCUGUGAUAAAAAAUGGAGAUGAUACUGGGGACAAGUUUUCAAAAUAGAGGUAUUCAUAAGCUAAGAGCAGCUGGAGAAACAAGGACACAGAAAGUAAAAGUAAUGGUGGAGUUUGUGAUCAAGAGGACAGAGAAAGUUGUUUUCAAAUUCAGAACAUGCUGACUCAUCCUUCUGUAAGAUAUCAAACAGCAGUAAGAGUUUCACUCUUCCCCCAUCUAAGAUAUCUCUGGGAAAAUAUCAUAAAUUUUAUUGGAAUGCAAACAUGAUUCUUUCAACUGGUCUCAUGUGGCUUCAGAGUCAUGAUUUCUCUCUGGGUUAAGGAAUACAGAACAAUACACUAUCACAAUCUGUAAUGAAGUCACUUUCUAAAUUAUGUGUAUAAAUAAUCUGUUCCUAUAAUGUAGAAAGUGAACUAAAGGUCACUUUAGAUACUAUAUGAGCACUUACCAUGCAAAUCAUUAGAUGUAGAAAAGGUAAAGACACUUUUGAAGGAAACAAAGGGCAAGGAAAACAAGAGACAAAUGUGUCUAGUGGUAAAAGGUAGUCAAAUGUGUGUGUGUGUGCAUGUGUGUUUGUGUGUGUGUGUGUAAGAAUCAUGAAAGGCUUUAGUUGCUUAAGUAUACAUAUAAACACUAAAAUCAUAGGAAGUAUAAGGAUGACAUUGCCUCAGAUACAAAGACUCCUUCAAGUUCCAC
Molecule: long non-coding RNA, 817 nt
Organism: Marmota monax (woodchuck)
Lineage: Eukaryota; Metazoa; Chordata; Mammalia; Rodentia; Sciuridae
Exons: 3
Source: RefSeq, a predicted model, not a curated record